GAGGGUAUAGCUCAGUGGUAGAGUGUGUGCUUAGCAGGCAUAAGGUCCUGGGUUCAAUCCCCAGUAACUCUA
Molecule: transfer RNA, 72 nt
Filed under: Camelus bactrianus (Bactrian camel)
Lineage: Eukaryota; Metazoa; Chordata; Mammalia; Artiodactyla; Camelidae
Also listed under: 1 other name
Rfam family: tRNA
About the family: Transfer RNA (tRNA) molecules are approximately 80 nucleotides in length.
Source: Rfam by way of RNAcentral